RNAcentral lists this ribosomal RNA (2901 nucleotides) under Escherichia coli. RNAcentral's name for it is "bacterial LSU rRNA". It matches the Rfam family "Bacterial large subunit ribosomal RNA". The record is from RNAcentral. Lineage: Bacteria; Pseudomonadati; Pseudomonadota; Gammaproteobacteria; Enterobacterales; Enterobacteriaceae.
UUAAGCGACUAAGCGUACACGGUGGAUGCCCUGGCAGUCAGAGGCGAUGAAGGACGUGCUAAUCUGCGAUAAGCGUCGGUAAGGUGAUAUGAACCGUUAUAACCGGCGAUUUCCGAAUGGGGAAACCCAGUGUGAUUCGUCACACUAUCAUUAACUGAAUCCAUAGGUUAAUGAGGCGAACCGGGGGAACUGAAACAUCUAAGUACCCCGAGGAAAAGAAAUCAACCGAGAUUCCCCAGUAGCGGCGAGCGAACGGGGAGCAGCCCAGAGCCUGAAUCAGUGUGUGUGUUAGUGGAAGCGUCUGGAAAGGCGUGCGAUACAGGGUGACAGCCCCGUACACAAAAAUGCACAUGCUGUGAGCUCGAUGAGUAGGGCGGGACACGUGGUAUCCUGUCUGAAUAUGGGGGGACCAUCCUCCAAGGCUAAAUACUCCUGACUGACCGAUAGUGAACCAGUACCGUGAGGGAAAGGCGAAAAGAACCCCGGCGAGGGGAGUGAAAAAGAACCUGAAACCGUGUACGUACAAGCAGUGGGAGCACGCUUAGGCGUGUGACUGCGUACCUUUUGUAUAAUGGGUCAGCGACUUAUAUUCUGUAGCAAGGUUAACCGAAUAGGGGAGCCGAAGGGAAACCGAGUCUUAACUGGGCGUUAAGUUGCAGGGUAUAGACCCGAAACCCGGUGAUCUAGCCAUGGGCAGGUUGAAGGUUGGGUAACACUAACUGGAGGACCGAACCGACUAAUGUUGAAAAAUUAGCGGAUGACUUGUGGCUGGGGGUGAAAGGCCAAUCAAACCGGGAGAUAGCUGGUUCUCCCCGAAAGCUAUUUAGGUAGCGCCUCGUGAAUUCAUCUCCGGGGGUAGAGCACUGUUUCGGCAAGGGGGUCAUCCCGACUUACCAACCCGAUGCAAACUGCGAAUACCGGAGAAUGUUAUCACGGGAGACACACGGCGGGUGCUAACGUCCGUCGUGAAGAGGGAAACAACCCAGACCGCCAGCUAAGGUCCCAAAGUCAUGGUUAAGUGGGAAACGAUGUGGGAAGGCCCAGACAGCCAGGAUGUUGGCUUAGAAGCAGCCAUCAUUUAAAGAAAGCGUAAUAGCUCACUGGUCGAGUCGGCCUGCGCGGAAGAUGUAACGGGGCUAAACCAUGCACCGAAGCUGCGGCAGCGACGCUGAUGCGUUGUUGGGUAGGGGAGCGUUCUGUAAGCCUGCGAAGGUGUGCUGUGAGGCAUGCUGGAGGUAUCAGAAGUGCGAAUGCUGACAUAAGUAACGAUAAAGCGGGUGAAAAGCCCGCUCGCCGGAAGACCAAGGGUUCCUGUCCAACGUUAAUCGGGGCAGGGUGAGUCGACCCCUAAGGCGAGGCCGAAAGGCGUAGUCGAUGGGAAACAGGUUAAUAUUCCUGUACUUGGUGUUACUGCGAAGGGGGGACGGAGAAGGCUAUGUUGGCCGGGCGACGGUUGUCCCGGUUUAAGCGUGUAGGCUGGUUUUCCAGGCAAAUCCGGAAAAUCAAGGCUGAGGCGUGAUGACGAGGCACUACGGUGCUGAAGCAACAAAUGCCCUGCUUCCAGGAAAAGCCUCUAAGCAUCAGGUAACAUCAAAUCGUACCCCAAACCGACACAGGUGGUCAGGUAGAGAAUACCAAGGCGCUUGAGAGAACUCGGGUGAAGGAACUAGGCAAAAUGGUGCCGUAACUUCGGGAGAAGGCACGCUGAUAUGUAGGUGAAGCGACUUGCUCGUGGAGCUGAAAUCAGUCGAAGAUACCAGCUGGCUGCAACUGUUUAUUAAAAACACAGCACUGUGCAAACACGAAAGUGGACGUAUACGGUGUGACGCCUGCCCGGUGCCGGAAGGUUAAUUGAUGGGGUCAGCGCAAGCGAAGCUCUUGAUCGAAGCCCCGGUAAACGGCGGCCGUAACUAUAACGGUCCUAAGGUAGCGAAAUUCCUUGUCGGGUAAGUUCCGACCUGCACGAAUGGCGUAAUGAUGGCCAGGCUGUCUCCACCCGAGACUCAGUGAAAUUGAACUCGCUGUGAAGAUGCAGUGUACCCGCGGCAAGACGGAAAGACCCCGUGAACCUUUACUAUAGCUUGACACUGAACAUUGAGCCUUGAUGUGUAGGAUAGGUGGGAGGCUUUGAAGUGUGGACGCCAGUCUGCAUGGAGCCGACCUUGAAAUACCACCCUUUAAUGUUUGAUGUUCUAACGUGGACCCGUGAUCCGGGUUGCGGACAGUGUCUGGUGGGUAGUUUGACUGGGGCGGUCUCCUCCUAAAGAGUAACGGAGGAGCACGAAGGUUGGCUAAUCCUGGUCGGACAUCAGGAGGUUAGUGCAAUGGCAUAAGCCAGCUUGACUGCGAGCGUGACGGCGCGAGCAGGUGCGAAAGCAGGUCAUAGUGAUCCGGUGGUUCUGAAUGGAAGGGCCAUCGCUCAACGGAUAAAAGGUACUCCGGGGAUAACAGGCUGAUACCGCCCAAGAGUUCAUAUCGACGGCGGUGUUUGGCACCUCGAUGUCGGCUCAUCACAUCCUGGGGCUGAAGUAGGUCCCAAGGGUAUGGCUGUUCGCCAUUUAAAGUGGUACGCGAGCUGGGUUUAGAACGUCGUGAGACAGUUCGGUCCCUAUCUGCCGUGGGCGCUGGAGAACUGAGGGGGGCUGCUCCUAGUACGAGAGGACCGGAGUGGACGCAUCACUGGUGUUCGGGUUGUCAUGCCAAUGGCACUGCCCGGUAGCUAAAUGCGGAAGAGAUAAGUGCUGAAAGCAUCUAAGCACGAAACUUGCCCCGAGAUGAGUUCUCCCUGACUCCUUGAGAGUCCUGAAGGAACGUUGAAGACGACGACGUUGAUAGGCCGGGUGUGUAAGCGCAGCGAUGCGUUGAGCUAACCGGUACUAAUGAACCGUGAGGCUUAACCUU